UACAGAGGGUGCAAGCGUUAAUCGGAGUUACUGGGCGUAAAGGGUGCGUAGGCGGACAUUUAAGUGGGGUGUGAAAUUUCUGGGCUUAACCUAGGACUUGCACUUCAAACUGGGUGUCUAGAGCAAGGGAGAGGGGAGUGGAAUUUCCGGUGUAGCGGUGAAAUGCGUAGAGAUCGGAAGGAACACCAGUGGCGAAGGCGGCUCUCUGGCCCAUUGCUGACGCUGAGGCACGAAAGCGUGGGGAGCAAACAGG
This 253-nucleotide ribosomal RNA is filed under the name uncultured bacterium. RNAcentral describes it as "partial 16S ribosomal RNA". It matches the Rfam family "Bacterial small subunit ribosomal RNA", at positions 524 to 776 of the family's 1533-position model. The record is from RNAcentral.